AAGUCGUAACAAGGUUUCCGUAGGUGAACCUGCGGAAGGAUCAUUAACACGUAUCCACGUAUUAAGCAACCGAGCAUUGAAUUUCAACCCUCCCUCCGAAGGAUCAUGAGUGGGCCAGUGACCGAGAUACGAGUGGGCUGUUCGCAGCGCUUGGCACAUCGCAUAAAUGACUGACGCUUAAACAACAAGCCAGUACCACUGAAUUUUCAACGAGGCUACCUUCUAAACCGCCAAGUGGCCCAACUCUCUACCCAAUGGUUUAGAUACAUUACACUAACUAUAAACACCAACCUUUUUGCUAGUUGACUUUAAAUUGUAAGUCUGUCCGCAAGGAACGGCUUACACGUUUGAUUAUUUGAACGUUAAAAUUACAACUCUUAGCAAUGGAUAUCUUGGUUCUC
Molecule: unclassified non-coding RNA, 401 nt
Filed under: fungal sp.
Lineage: Eukaryota; Fungi
Description: partial internal transcribed spacer region
Rfam family: Eukaryotic small subunit ribosomal RNA (bases 1-46)
Source: RNAcentral